AGGAAUUCAUGCCCAUCGCCAAAAUAGCAAACAUGACGGGAAUUGAUUUCACGGAAGUUGAUUUCCACAAAGGCACGUUGAGAUGCCUUAAAUUUUCGAGUAUUCAUCAUCUGGGCAGGGAGCAUUGCUUAUCAGCAUCUCGAUCCUUAGAUUCAAGGCGUAAGGCGUUCAGGGCAUGACAUCCACGCAUUCGAGGGUUGAGAUGCACUGUCGAGGAAAAACAGAACUCCCAGAGCAUGAAUAGUUUCUCGACAUCUGUAUGUUAAAUCUUAAGGAUUGUGUUAGAUAUUUCCUGUCCUUGCUUUCAGUCUACGGAACAUCUAGAAAACUUUUCAGUAUAAAAUUGCAGGUUACUACUAGCCCAGUUCGUCACGAGACCAUGCAACUCAAGAAUCAUGGAACUGCAUGCGCUUGCAUUCGGAUUGGCCUAUUAUUUUCUCUUUGCCUUCGUCCUUCGGCA
This 460-nucleotide long non-coding RNA is filed under the name Eucalyptus grandis. RNAcentral describes it as "long non-coding RNA (EGRA_LNC000085)". Lineage: Eukaryota; Viridiplantae; Streptophyta; Magnoliopsida; Myrtales; Myrtaceae. The record is from RNAcentral.